GAAAUUCAUUUUUCAAAUGCGCAAAUUCAAAGUCUCAGAGUUAUUCACAAUUCGUUUUAAACAACUAGAGUUUUACAGCAAGUAUAGUUUUGCAUAUUUACAAGUCCGGAUCGUCUGUGUGUCCGUCCACGUCACCUGGUGCAGC
Rhagoletis pomonella (apple maggot) is the source of this 145-nucleotide long non-coding RNA. RefSeq lists it as uncharacterized. The transcript has 3 exons. The record is from RefSeq and is a predicted model, not a curated record. NCBI's taxonomy places the organism in Eukaryota, Metazoa, Arthropoda, Insecta, Diptera, Tephritidae.